Molecule: non-coding RNA, 45 nt
Filed under: Trichobilharzia regenti
Lineage: Eukaryota; Metazoa; Platyhelminthes; Trematoda; Strigeidida; Schistosomatidae
Source: RNAcentral
AUCCAGAUGACGAGUCCCAAACAGGACGAAAUGCGCAUCAUGGAU